AUGGUUUGUUGAGGGGAUUGAAUCUUAUCAAAAACCAGCUUGGACAUACUGUGAUUCCAACGCAGUCAAAGGUGGUGUAGCCCUUCAGCAGGGGUCAGAUUGUGUAGUGAUACAGUGAGAGCCUAUAUGGGCAAGUAACUGUGUUAAGCAUUUGUUGCUAACGUUACUGUGAUUUUUGGAAAGUUAAAUAAUCUCAAAGGGGGGAGAUAGAACAUUUUACAGCUGGCCACUACAGCUUUAUGUUUAGAGGUGUUCACUGCCACUACAGCUUUAUGUUUAGAGGUGUUCACUGCCACUACAGCUUUAUGUUUAGAGGUGUUCACUGCCACUACAGCUUUAUGUUUAGAGGUGUUCACUGCCACUACAGCUUUAUGUUUAGAGGUGUUCACUGCCACAUUCUGGUUUGCAUUGCUUCAUACUUGCAUUGUGAGUGCUAUUUUGAACUUUUGCUCAGAGUGCACAAGACAGUAAUGACCUAUAAUACUUGUAUACUGAGUUGUCAUUACAUCACCCCCAAAAAAACUAUAUAUAUAAAUAUAUAUAUAUAUAUAUAUAUAUAAAUAUAUAUAUUUUUUUUUCAACAAAGUAUUUUUUAAUCUGUAAACAGACGUACGUAAAGUGCCAUGCUUUAAAGCAGCCAAAACUGGGGGAUUAAAUUCAGCGGCAUACACUACUUUUUCUGAAGUUAGAAUGUCAGUCUUGAGAUGUUUUUGUAGCUGUUGGUACCCAAAUGUUUUAUUAAAUCCCAAUUGAAGAACAUGUAGAUUUCUGUUCAUAUGCCUUUGCUGCCAGUGUCAAACAUUUCGCGUUCAACUUAUGUUGGUGUACUGAGCUCUUUUGCAAAGUAUCAAGUACAGUAAUCUAAAAUAUUUAUUCACUGAACUGUUAUUGCAUGAGAAGUAAAAAAAAAUCACGUUUAUUUUUAAUUAAUGUUGGCUUGCCACUGGACUUAAGUUUAGUUGUAUGUGCAGUAAAGUUCACGACUGGAAGAAGGUUUGCGUAUCAUAACAGUUGAAACCACAAGUUAAGUGCCUUUUUCUAGGGGAGUAUCGCGGUGCAUUCAGCAAAACUUGCUGUACUACCACAAUAUGGUUAGAGAUGUGGUGCUUUGUUGGGCUACCACUAGUAACUUUGCAGAGCAUUGUAGCUUCUUUGGGUUUUGCUAGUUGCUUCAUUUAAAAUGUGUGUUUUGCACUUUAAGCUUUACAUACUCUGCAUGUAUUUCGAUCAUAUCACUUGUGCUAUGAAAUGAGAAACAAAUACUUCUUUAGGAGAAUGUAAGUUUUGCCAUUGUAGUAAGGAUUCAUACUCUGUAUGCUCUAAUAGGCAUGCUCCUCUUUGAAAUUGUUAUUGUGUGGCCUUCAAAAGCUGUUAGCUUUGCAGAAAACACUAUUCAAGUGGGGUUAUCAAGUGACUGUAUCCUGUAAAUUUCACAAGAAUGUCUAGAAGCAGUCGAAACAUCGUCAUGAGAAAUAAGCCAGAUCGGCCUUUGUAAUUUGAUGGUUUGCAACUAAGUCAGUCUGAAAACAAAUGUGUAGCUUUCAUUUUUUUGCCAAAGUAAAAUGUAUAAUCAUGUGAUUUCAGACCUAAAAGUUAAAUGAUGUAUAAUUUGAGGCAUUAAACAAUGAUUUUGUUUUCAUUAAAUUUUUAUAUUGCAGCUG
Protopterus annectens (West African lungfish) is the source of this 1661-nucleotide long non-coding RNA. RefSeq lists it as uncharacterized. The transcript has 2 exons. The record is from RefSeq and is a predicted model, not a curated record. NCBI's taxonomy places the organism in Eukaryota, Metazoa, Chordata, Ceratodontiformes, Protopteridae.